Molecule: long non-coding RNA, 861 nt
Filed under: Olea europaea subsp. europaea
Lineage: Eukaryota; Viridiplantae; Streptophyta; Magnoliopsida; Lamiales; Oleaceae
Source: RNAcentral
CUGGGCGACCGUAAGGUACUCCAUUCGCUCAGAUUCUGGGCGUUUUGCAAGUUUGGGCGAUGAUGUUACCAUGUUCGUGGGCUUCCAUUGCAUUCCUCAAUAAUCCUGUUUGGACAUUUAUCCUGGACUCUCCAAUUGGGUUUCACUCUUUGGACUAUUUGAUUUGGGUUGCAUUUUUAGUGUGUCAACAGGUAUAAUUGAACAAUAUGAUUAAGCUCCACACAGUUCAAAACCAAGUUCAAGACAAAAAUCAGAAGGAAAUUUUUUUCGCAAUAAGGUGGGUAUGAGCUUGGUUAUUUAAUCGUGUAUUGCUUUGAACAAUGGAGAGACACACAAUAGAGUAGUCAGUUGUCAAUUUUCCAAACUUAUGAUGUUCGGAGAGAACAAAAACUGAGGACAAAGGCUUUAUCAAGGGAGAAAAUCUUGAUGUUUGUCAUUCUCUUGACGGAAUUAUACUCCUUCCGAGGUGGAGGGGGAUAUUAGUUGGGCGACAUGAAGUGGACAAAAACAAACACAAGGCAUUUUAAUGUUAAAUCUUAUACUAUACAGGAGAGUUGCACCUGAGAUUUAGCAAAAGAGAAAAGUUCAGAGGGUGGAACGUAGCCAGAAGCACACUUGAGGGACUUUCCGGCAGAGGACAGAUAAUCAGAGUAGACAGUGAGGAGGAAUGAAGCACUUGUUACAAACUGCAUAUUGUUCCACCUCUGCCGGAAAAUGAGUCCUCCCGGAGUCUUUCGAACAUUGGCGGAGCCCUUUCCAAGGCAUGAGCACAUAAAGUACUCGGCUUUUUGCUGGUACUCUUCAAACACUGGUGUGUAAUGUCCACCUUUUUCCUUGCAUUAGGAACUGCAAAAAGAUGAC